This 74-nucleotide transfer RNA is filed under the name Prevotellaceae bacterium. Its description in RNAcentral is "tRNA-Asn". It matches the Rfam family "tRNA". From Rfam's summary of the family: Transfer RNA (tRNA) molecules are approximately 80 nucleotides in length. Lineage: Bacteria; Pseudomonadati; Bacteroidota; Bacteroidia; Bacteroidales; Prevotellaceae. The record is from RNAcentral.
UCCUCGCUAGCUCAGUCGGUUAGAGCACCUGACUGUUAAUCAGGGGGUCCUAGGUUCAAGUCCUAGGCGAGGAG